UUGCAGCCAAUAAGCCGACCGUGCUCUUUUCUACAUGGGGGUCUGGCGUGUAAUGGCUGCAAAGAGCAGUCUCUCGGUAGUGUGUGCAGCCUGUUGCCUGUAAGCGUUGCCCUAAUGGACCUUGGAACGGCC
Molecule: small nucleolar RNA, 132 nt
Filed under: Balaenoptera musculus (blue whale)
Lineage: Eukaryota; Metazoa; Chordata; Mammalia; Artiodactyla; Balaenopteridae
Description: Small nucleolar RNA SNORA70 (ENSBMSG00010002360.1)
Rfam family: Small nucleolar RNA SNORA70
About the family: snoRNA U70 seems to be exclusive to mammals and is a member of the H/ACA class of snoRNA which contain H (ANANNA) and ACA box motifs. H/ACA box snoRNAs are involved in the conversion of uridines to pseudouridines (5-ribosyluracil) a constituent of structural RNAs (transfer, ribosomal, small nuclear, and small nucleolar).
Source: RNAcentral